Elaeis guineensis (African oil palm) is the source of this 1012-nucleotide non-coding RNA. The record is from RefSeq and is a predicted model, not a curated record. Lineage: Eukaryota; Viridiplantae; Streptophyta; Magnoliopsida; Arecales; Arecaceae.
GUAUGAUGACGCGCACUGAUAUUAGCGAGCGUAACGAUAUCAUCAAAUUGGGAGGCCUAUCUAAUGGUAGAAAAGUAGAAACCCUAGAUUGUUUCUGCAAUUCCGACUCUCCUCUCCCUUUCCCUUGUCCCUCCUCGGUGACUCCGAGUUGCUGAAGGUCUUCCGCUGGCCGCCCUCAGAUCCGGCGGCCCACCACCUCCCGCGGUUGCACUUUGAGCUCAACAUGUCGGACACAAAGACCAUUGAUGCCAAUGAGCAUGCUUCUGAGGAGGUUCCCGACCUAAUGGACCAAAAUGAAGAGAAUUCGAUGCUGUCAUCCCAAGCAGAGGAGGAAGCAAUCAGGAAAAAAUAUGGAGGAAUAUUACCCAAAAAACCGCCUCUUAUAUCGAAGGAUCAUGAACGUGCCUACUUCGAUUCUGCUGAUUGGGCUUUAGGAAAGCAAGGUGCACCUGGUGGGAAGCCCAAAGGACCACUUGAGGCACUUCGCCCAAAGCUACAGGUGAUAAAUCUGUUCUCUCUUUCCCAGCAUGCUCACUGACAUUAUAUCAACGUGUAAAACGGAAAGUUCCUUUUCACCACAAUAACUUGUUCUUCAGCCUACACCGCACCAGCAAGUGCGCUCACGGCGGUCGAUUUACACGUCUUCUGAUGCUGAUGAUGGAGGCAAUGCUGCUCCUGAGGAGGCAAACAGCAAUGAGUGACUUCAAGCCUGUGUCCAUUGGAGAGCCUUUCAAUCUGCGGGUCUUUGGCUGUUUCUUUGGUGAAACACAAUUGAGUCCAUUUUGUAGGCUUGCGUGAAUAAGUACAGCUUUUUGUUACAUUUGCUGCUGUCAUUUGGAAUCUUCAUGGUCUCUGUAUCUGAGACUGGUGACUCUGGAACCACCAGUGAGUUUAUAAACUCAGAAUGAGUCAUCUCAUGGGAUGACAUCUGGCUCAUAAGUCAUAACCGGCAUGCUUCAUGUUACUUUAGCGACAUGGCCUUGAUGAGUAAUACAAGUUAGCACAUGGUAAU